Hydractinia symbiolongicarpus is the source of this 462-nucleotide long non-coding RNA. RefSeq lists it as uncharacterized. The transcript is spliced from 2 exons. The record is from RefSeq and is a predicted model, not a curated record. Lineage: Eukaryota; Metazoa; Cnidaria; Hydrozoa; Anthoathecata; Hydractiniidae.
CACAAAAUUAUAGGACUGACAAUAACAACUAACAAAAAAGAAUUUAAUUAAUGUGAUUUAGCUUAAUCAACUUACAAAAAGAAAAAACAACACAAAUAGAAAAAUAUGUUUAUCUUUAUUUUUUCUUCAACACAUCAGCUGCCUGCAAGGGUGAACCAUAUCCAGAUGAUAUUAUUUUUUGUGUCAAUCAAACAGAAAGAGAAUGAAGACAUUAACAACUUGAUUGAAACAUCAGGGGACGAUCAAGACCAAUUUUGGUAUCUGUAUGCUGAUUUGGUAGAUACAGGAUUGGAAUUUGGCUUCUUCCUUUCUUUGUGAUAGUUUCAGUUGGAUUUUAAAUAUAGAAAUAUAAUUUCUAGAUAAUACAUACUCUUCAAGUUUCACCUAAUUAUUUGAUUGCUGUAUGUAGCAUUUACUAAACACUAAAAUUACACACCUUGAAAAUAAAGUAAACUGACUUGG